UUACUAGAGUAGCACUCGCAUAUCAAUAAGCGGAGGAAAAGAAACUAACAAGGAUUCCCCUAGUAACGGCGAGUGAAGCGGGAAGAGCUCAAAUUUGAAAUCUUGAAGGGUUUCCCUUUACGAAUUGUAGUUUAAAGAAGUGUUUUCUGUUGAGGUUUUGGUAAAAGUUCUUUGGAAUAGGACAUCAUAGAGGGUGAGAAUCCCGUAUUUGACCUUUACUUUCAACUUUGUGAUACACUUUCAAAGAGUCGGAUUGUUUGGGAAUGCAGUCCAAAAUGGGUGGUAAAUUUCAUCUAAAGCUAAAUAUUGGCGAGAGACCGAUAGCGAACAAGUACCGUGAGGGAAAGAUGAAAAGAACUUUGAAAAGAGAGUUAAACAGUACGUGAAAUUGUCAAAAGGGAAGCGUUUGACACCAGUGUUGUUUUCCUGAAAAUCAAUUAAAGAACUGUUUAUGCUAAGUUGUUUAGACUUUAUCAGCUAACUGUUUAGUUUUGAGCUUUUCUUUAAUGCACUUUUCAGUUAACAAGUCAACAUCAAUUUCUUUUGCUGUAAAAAAGCUUGAGGAAGGUGGCUUGAGAUUCGUCUUAAGUGUUUAUAGCCUCUUGCCUAUGCAGUCGGAGAGAUUGAGGUCUGCAGCGUAGAUCCUUCGGGGCUAAAUGCAUUUGUGCUAAGUUAUAGCAUUUUAUAGACAACUUGUUGACUAUGAUUUGUCUUGUAGCUUACUCGCUUAUGUUAUUUUACCUACGCUUAGGAUGUUGAUCUCUCACAGUCGAGC
This 775-nucleotide ribosomal RNA is filed under the name uncultured Neocallimastigales. Its description in RNAcentral is "partial large subunit ribosomal RNA". It matches the Rfam family "Eukaryotic large subunit ribosomal RNA", at positions 1 to 645 of the family's 3401-position model. The record is from RNAcentral. Lineage: Eukaryota; Fungi; Neocallimastigomycota; Neocallimastigomycetes; Neocallimastigales.